UAAGUCAGGGGUGAAAUCCCCACAGCUCAACUGUGGAACUGCCUUUGAUACUGUCAGUCUAGAGUAUAGUUGAAGUUGGCGGAAUGUGUCAUGUAGCGGUGAAAUGCUUAGAUAUGACACAGAACACCGAUCGCGAAGGCAGCUAGCUAAGCUAUAACUGACGCUCAUGCACGAAAGCGUGGGGAUCAAACAGGAUUAGAUACCCUGGUAGUCCACGCUGUAAACGAUGAUUACUCGAUGUUGGCGAUACACAGUCAGCGUCUGAGCGAAAGCAAUAAGUAAUCCACCUGGGGAGUACGAUCGCAAGAUUGAAACUCAAAGGAAUUGACGGGGGCCCGCACAAGCGGAGGAGCAUGUGGUUUAAUUCGAUGAUACGCGAGGAACCUUACCUGGGCUCGAACGUAAGAUGACUGUAGGUGAAAGCUUACAUCUCUUCGGAGCAUUUUACGAGGUGCUGCAUGGUUGUCGUCAGCUCGUGCCGUGAGGUGUCGGGUUAAGUCCCAUAACGAGCGCAACCCCUACCUUUAGUUGCCAUCAGGUCAUGCUGGGGACUCUAAAGGAACUGCCUACGCAAGUAGUGAGGAAGGCGGGGAUGACGUCAAAUCAGCACGGCCCUUACGUCCAGGGCUACACACGUGCUACAAUGGCCGAUACAGAGGGCAGCUACCUGGUGACAGGAUGCAAAUCUCCAAAGUCGGUCUCAGUUCGGAUCGGAGUCUGCAACCCGACUCCGUGAAGUUGGAUUCGCUAGUAAUCGCGCAUCAGCCAUGGCGCGGUGAGUACGUUCCCGGGCCUUGUACACACCGCCCGUCAAGCCAUGGAAGCUGGGGGGACCUAAAGUCGAUAACCGCAAGGAGUCGCCCAGGGUAAAACCAGUGACUGGGGCUAAGUCGUAACAAGGUAGCCG
This 907-nucleotide ribosomal RNA is filed under the name uncultured Lentimicrobium sp. Its description in RNAcentral is "bacterial SSU rRNA". It matches the Rfam family "Bacterial small subunit ribosomal RNA", at positions 584 to 1502 of the family's 1533-position model. The record is from RNAcentral. Lineage: Bacteria; Pseudomonadati; Bacteroidota; Bacteroidia; Bacteroidales; Lentimicrobiaceae.